GGGUAUUCUGUCACAGCCCCCUCUGCGAUGCUGCCACACGGGCAGCUCCAAAGUCUUACAAUUCAAGUGUGAUUUUCAUUUUUUAUUUUUUUUUUAUCUUGGAGAAGUUCAACCUGUGUAUUACACACAUCAGGAAAGAAGAUUGUGGUGCCCAAGUGGAAAUGGAAUAAUUGACUUUGUCACGUAAUAACUGGAUGCUGACUGGACUCCAACUGAAGCUGUGAUUUUCCGUUCACUUUUGCAUGAGGAGGCUUUGCUCCAAAUAUCAAGGAUUAUAGCUGAAAUUGUCUCCAUAAUACCAUGGCGGAAGGAGCUGCCUCCUCCUCCUCCUCCACAGCCAGUGGGUCCAGUGGAGCAGCUCCACCACAGACGAUCCCCGUCAAGUCCAAAGGUCUGGGCCUCCUCGGGAAGCUGAAAGUGUCCGCGGAGCUGCUGGUGGCUCUGGCUGCUCUCCUGUCCUGGGUGGUGGUCGGAGUAGUGAUGUUUGACUUUGUGGAGUACAAGGCAGUCCCUGACAUUCAGCAAAUCGUUUCGGACCCCAUUGGAGCUGUAAACGACGCCGUCGAGGAAGCAUCCAGUCUACUCAAUAAGUUUCAGGAAUGUGCACCCGAUUUAAGUGACCCCACGUCCGCUGCCACCUACGUAGCUAAAGAAAUAUCUGAUGCAAAAGAUGGAUUUGUUCGCUAUUUUUCCGAUGAGGAAGGGAACUUCUACCUCAGCUAUGUUGACCCUGUGAUCAUCGGUAGACAAGCUUUCCAUUCGACCAAUGACUUAAUGCGUGGAGUCGUGGGCACCUUCAAGGACACAUUGUGCGCCAUUGUAGACGCCGCAUUAAAUACUAUAUCGGAUGUAAAUAAAGGAACCUCAGGAACCGUGGAUACUCCCUCCGUGGACCCUGUUGUAGUUGGCAGAAAUGUCUUCAGUCUUACAAAUGACACCGUGAGUAGACUAGUGGGCUACAUCCAGGACGUACUCUGUGCCAUCGUAGACAGUGUGCUGGAUUUAACUAAAGGAACCACCGACACAAGCUUCAUGGACCCUGUGGUUGUUGGUAGAAAUGUCUUCUGUGUUACUAAUGACUUUCUGAGUGGAAUAGCCGGAUACAUCCAGGAUGUGCUCUCUGCCGCCUUGGACGUGAUACUGGACACAGUAAAAUAUCUGCAGCAUGCUGUGGGAUUCAGCCCGACGUCAGCUCUAAAGAGAACAGCAGAAAUCAGCACAGAGCAGAUGAACACGCUUGUGAGCUACGUCUCCACGCUGAUUGGUCAACAAGACAUCAUGCCAGAAGUUUCCAUUGACCCCAUGAAAGUGGUUGAAGAUGCUCUGUUGGAGGCCUCGGACAAGAAAGAUUUGUUCGUGGCUUACAUGUCGAGCAUGCUUGUUGCUGAUCGAGAUGAAGCUGUAGCUCUCCCAUCUAAUUUGAAUAUGUUACGAAGAAAAGGAGAAUUUCUUCCGUCUUUGGGAAAAGUUACAGAGAUCAUGCAAGCUGCCAAAGAUGCUGCUGCUGCUUCUGCUGCUGAAGCCCCAGACUCAAAGAUCAAGGAGGAGGAUGGAGACGUUUCCACUGAAGCUGCCUACGAAGUGGACGUGGAGGAGGAGGAGGAUGUGAAACAUAUCAACCUUGAAGAAACAGAACAUGAACCACCAGCCAUCAAUGAAGGAGACAAGGUCGACAGAGAGGAGGAGGAACAUGAGGAGAUUCAAACAGAGGAGGAUGCGAUUUAUGAGGCGGAAGAAACAGAGGAUGCUGAAGGAGAAGAAGGUGGAGAUAUUAUUAAAACAGCCACUGAAGAAGAACAAGUAGAUGAACCAAGUGAGGAGCAGGAAGAGGAGAUCAAAGUUGAAGAUGUUUUGGCGAAAGAGGAGAAGGAAACACAUACAGAAGAGGAUGCAUUAAAAAAAGAUUUGGUAGUGGAAGUGGAGGAGGAGACCAUAUCUGAAGACAUUUUGGUAAAAGAGAGGGAGGAGGACGAAGAGGAGGAGGAGGAGAAAAAAACUGAAGAUGUUUUCGUAGACGAUGGUGAGGAAGAAGACGACAGAAAAACUGAAGUGGAAGUUGAGGAGGUGGAGGAUACUAACAUUGAAGAACACACCAUAGAAGAUGAUGAGGAGACAAAAACAGGACUUCUGGUAGAGGAGGAGGAGGAAGUGGUGGUGUUGGUGGUGCAGGAGGUCAAGCAUGAGGAGGACGGGGAGGUACAAAAUGAAGAGAUUUUAGUAGAAGAUGGUGAGGAAGAAGAGGAGAGUAAAACUGAAGUGGAAGUGGAGGAGACUAUAAUGGAGGAACAUGCAGGAGAGGAUGAAACAAAUAUAGAACUUGUGGCAGAAUUAGAGGAGGAGGAGGAGGAGGAAGAGGAGGAGGACGACGUGUUGAUAGGAGAUGGUGAGGAAGAGAAGGAGACAAAAACAGAAGAUGCAGUUGAAUAUUUGGAAGACAAUAAAGAGGAGGAGGAGGAAGACGGCGAGGACGAAGAGACAACAACAGAACUUGUAAUUGAAAACGAGGAGGAGACCGAAUCUGAAGAAGAUUUGGCAGAGGCUGGGAUAGAUGAUGAGAAAAAAACAGUAGAAGUUCAAGUAAAAUCAUUGGAAGAUUUUGAUGAGGAGGAGAACGAAGAUGAAGAUCUUCGUGUUGAUGAAGGAAGCGACAAAGAAAUAAAUGAAAUUACUGAUAUCAACGAUCAGCUUUCUAAAACUAACCAGGAACUAGGAGCUUUAGAUGCUGAAGAUAAAAAGAAUUUAGAGGAGGAGGAAGCAGAAGAACCGUUCAGAGUGGAGACGACGGAAGUGGACAAAGGAGAUGAAGAAGAAGAGCCAUCUGCCCAACGUCUUGAUUUUGAAAUUAUAUCAUCUAAAACACCAAAUAAUGCAGGUGUCAUACCCGAAUCCAACAACGUUAUAGAAGAGGAAACAACAGUCAAUGAAUACUCUGACAUCAUCAACGAACGUGAUGAAAACAAUGAUGAGAUUGAAAGCGUGAAAUCUGAAUCUGAACAAAAAAGGGAGGUUCAUGUUCCCUUUGAGAGACUGAGAAGAGUCGGCUCCAGAGCUGCUCACAAAGAGGAACACCUUCACAAACGUGGGAAAGUUCUCAAAGCGGCAAAGGAAAGACGAAAAGAAGUUAAAGACGCCAUUAUCAAAGACCUCGAGGAGGAGAAAAAAGAGGGAGCCAAACUUGAGGAAAUCAUUGAAAAGAAACCAAAAGAAGAAAAGCUAAAGGAAGAGGCUAAACCAUUUGAGAAGAAACCACUGAAGCACAAAGAAGAAGAGACUAAAAAGAAGGAAGAACCCAAUAAACCACCUAAAGGAGAGAAAAGAGUGAAGCAUACUAAGGAGGAGAAAGAAACAAAACAGGUGACAGAAGCGAAGAAAACCAAUAAAACAGAAAGACGCCAAGAAACCAUCUAAAACAGAACAAGAUGUCAUGAAACCAUCCACUGGAGUCAAGAAACCACUAAAAGAAGACAAAGUAGUCAAGCUACUACUUAAAGAAGAGAAAGAGGUUCAGAAAGAAACUAAAGCAGAGAAAGAGGAAAAGAAAUCAUUAAAAGGAGUCAAAAAAAUACCUCAAGAUGAGAAAGAGGAAAGGGAAGUUAAGAAAGCAUCUAUAGAGGAGAGAGAAGUCGAGAAACCAUCUCAAGGUGAGAAGGAGGUCAAGAAACUACAUGAAGAAGAGAAAGAAGUCAGGAAACCAAUUCAAGAAAAGGAAGCAGUAAAGAAAUCAUCUCACAAAGUGAAAGAAGUCCAGAAACAAACUCAAGCAGAGAAAAACAUCAAGAAACCAUCUAGAGAAGAGAGGUAUGUGAAGAAAAACGACAAAAAAGAAGUGAAGAAACCACCUAUAGAGGAGAAAGAGAUCACGAAAGCAUCUCCAGAAGUGAAAGAGAUCAAGAAACCAUCUGAAGAACAGACAGAGGUCAAGAAGACUAGACAAGAAACACAAUACAAGAAAGAAGAGAAAGAAGUCACAAAAGCAUUUGAGGAAGAGAGAGAAGUCAAGAGACUAUCAAGAAAAGAUAAUAAUGUUGAGAAACCAUCUGAAGAAGAAAAAGAAGUCAUAAAAAUCCCUGGACAAGAGAAACAAGUCAGGAAACCAAUUGCAGAAAAGAAAGAGGUAAAUAUAUCAUCUCAAGAAGAGAAGGAACCUCAAAAACCAACUCAGGCCCUGAAGAAAGUCAAGAAACGAUCGAAAGAACAGACGACGGUCACGAAACACACUAGACAAGAAAAACAAUGCAAUAAACCCACUCGAGUUGAGAAAGUAGUUGAAAAAAAACCUGAAGAGGAGAAAGAAGUCACAAAACCACGUGAAGAGAGCAAAGUCAAGACACCAUCCAGAGAGGAGAAAAGAGUCAAGACGCCACUAAAAGAAGAGAAACAAAUCAAGAAAACAUCUAAAGAGGAGAAACCAUUCAGGGAAACUUCUAAAGAAGAGAAAGAGGGCAAGAAAACACCUAAAGAACUGAAAAAAGUCAAGAUUCCACACAGAGACGUGACAAACGUAACAAAACCACUUCAAGAAGCAGUCAAGAAACAUUCAACAGAAGAAAAACAAGUCAAGACACCACCCAAAGAAAAGGAAGACGUCAAGACACCACCCAAAGAGGAGAAAGAGGUCAAGACACUACCUAAAGGAAGGAAAGAAGUCAAGACUCCACCCAAAGAGGAGAAAGAAGUCAAGACACCACCCAAAGUGGAGAAAGAAGUCAAGACACCACCCAAAGAAAAGAAAGAAGUCAAGACUCAACUUAAAGAAAAGAAAGAGAUCAAGACUCCACCCAAAGAGGACAUAGAAAUCAAGACACCACCCAAAGUGGAGAAAGAAGUCAAGACACCACCCAAAGAGGAGAAAGCAGACAAGAAACCACUUAAAGAAAAGAAAGAGGUCAAUACUCUACCCAAAGAGGAGAAAGAACUCAAGACACCACCCAAAGUGGAGAAAAAGGUCAAGACACCACCCGAAGAGGAGAAAGAAGUCAAGACACCACUCAAAGAAAAGAAAGCAGUCAGCACUCCAUCCAGAGAAAAGGGAGAAGUCAAGAUACUAUCUAACCGAGGAAAAGGAUUAAAGAAUUCGCCAAAAGAAGAAAAAGAAGCCAACAAACCAUUGAAAGUACAUAGAAAUGUAUACAAACCAUCAAGGGCGGAGAGGGAAGUUAAUACAUCUUCUUUAAAAGGAAGAGAAGCCAAGAAACAACUUAAAGAAGUUAAAGAAGCAAUAAAACCAUCUCAAGAAGAGAAAGAGGUGAAGAAACAUCUUAAAGAACAGAAAGAAGAGAUAAAACCAUCUCAAGAAGAAAAAGAGGUGAGGAAACAUCUUAAAGAACAGAAAGAAGAGAUAAAACCUCUGAAAGAAGAACUAACUGAAAUGAAGUCUCACAAAGAUGAGAAUAAAUCACUCAAAGAAAGGCUACAAUUGAAACUGAAAAAGCCUCAAGAAGAAAUUGUAGCGAAAGUAAUGAAGCCCAAAGAACUGAAGGAAGCAGGGGAGCCUUCCAAGGAAAGGAAAGAAUUGAAGAAACAUUCAAAAGAAAAGGAAAUAAGGGAGCCACCGAAGGAGGACAAAGAAAUCAAGAGACCUACAAAAGAAAAAGAGAAAAAAGAGGUUAAGAAUCCAUCUGAAGAUGACAAAGAAGUAAAAUACUUAAAGAAAGGGACGGAAGACAAGAAGCCGUCUCUGAGGGAUAAAAAAGAAAAAAUACUUUCAGUGGAGGAAAAAGAAGUCAUCACACCCAUAAAGAAAGAAAGAGACCCAAAGAAAUCUUCAAUGGAGAAAAACCAAGCAAAACCUUCCAAAGAAAAGGCAGUUCCAAAAAAGCUCUCCAGAAGAAAACAAGCACAAGAGAAACCUUCAAGAGAUGGAAAGGAAUCAACAAUACUCUCUCGAAAGGAAGAAAAUGAACCAAAGAAGCUCUCUGAAGAACAAGACCCUGAGAAACCCUCCAAAGACCAGAGAGAAGUGACUCCCAAAGAGCAAAAGGAAGCAAAGAAAAUAUCUAUUGAAAACGUAGAACAAACAAAACCCUCCACAGAGAAAGAAAUCAAAAAGACCCAUAAAGACCAACCUGUCCAGAUUGGUGAUACUAAGAAAGAUGCUGGACCCAAAAAGGCUGAGAGGAGGAUUAAAGUAGUCAAGGAAGAGGUUGCAUCUGUUCUGAAGAAGGAACACCGUAAUGUCACAAACGCAGCUGUGGAACCCAAGAGGGCAGUCGAGGUGCUGAAAGCUGCCAAAAAGCAGAGAGUUCUUAUCCCGAAAAAGGAGCACAUGAUUGUGACAAAGACAGAGGUUCCUGAAACUCCUAAAGUGAAAGCCAAACAAGAAUCUGCAAAGAAAGUGGCAGCUCAUAAAGAGCCCGUACAGGAACCAAAGGAAAAAAUCACACCUACGCGUGUUAAACGAGAUGAUGAACCUAAGAAGGCUGCACAGAGGAUUAAAGUACUUCUCAAUGUUACGAAAGCAGAGAUUUCUAAACACCCUGACUUGAAAGCCAAACCAGAACCUGCGAAGAAAGACGUUUCAAAGGACAAAGCAAAAGCGGGUCCUGCUAAGAAAGAAGCUGUUGCUCUAAAAGAAAAGGCCAAAACAGUCAACAUGAAAAGAGAACGAGAGGGCGCUCCCAGAAAUGCGUCUCUGGUCAAACCGAGAGUCAAAAUAGUGCCUGUGAAAAAAGAGGUCACAGUGCCAAAAAAGGAAGUCAAAGCAGCUUCUGCAAAAAAAGAAGCUGCUCUAAAAGAAAAUACAAAGACAAAAACCUCACAGAAAGAACCUGAGACCAAGCUGCUUCUCGCCAGAAAAGCAAUUAAGUUAACAAAGGAGACGCCUCAGCCACCUCGUGGAAAGAAAGCUCCUUCUAAAACUGAGGAUGACACCAAGGGAAAUGUCAAAUCCCUCCUCAGGAAGAAAGAACUGGAGACUCCUAAAGAAAAGAGCAAACUGGCUGCAGUGAAGAAAGCACCCGAGGUUCUAAAAGAAAAGGUCAAAACCUCUGCUGCAAAGAAAGAGGUCAGAGUUCGUAAAGAAAACGCAGAGCCUGUAAAACAAGAAAAAACAUUUGAGAAGAGGACAACCAAGGAGGAGAAAGCUAAAGAGGAUAGAGUUCUUAAAGAAAUACAAGAGCCAGCAAAGAAAGAAAGAUCUACUGAGAAGAAAGCUGCCAUGGAGGAGAAAAUAAAAGCUGGGCCUUCUGUAUCAGACAGCUUCCAAAUUGAAGAAGAGCUGCCCUACUUCCAGUGUUUCUUUUUGGACGAGGACGAGGCCCAAUUUCCUUUCCACGCCUUCUCGCCGAUGCAUAUUUGAGGCUUCAGUCUAAAUCCGGUCUGAGGUUUACAAUUUUUGUCAAUUUUACUGAUAAUGACCUGGUCACACCCUGCGCUGCUGAACGCAGCCUGCUGUUGGUUCUCACGAGAAAACCACGAACAGCAAAGGAUGAUGGGGGAUUUAAUGUGACGGUCGGACUUUCUUUCACUUCCAGAUUUGGUUGAGCUCUCGUACCGAAUACAUGCAGCCGGUGUCAUUCCUUUCCGUUUUGUUAUUUAUUUUGUGUGUUCAAUGGUUUUUAAAGGUGGAUAUCUUGGUGGAAUGGUGGAACUAUGUCGAGUAUUACCUCCGUGGAUCAUUCAUUUAGAUCCCCACAGCAACACAAGCAAAUGCAUUUUUUUUAGAAGGAGCACAAGGCUUUAAACAAGAUACAAAAUGGCCACAAUUGUGGAUUAAAGGUGGACAGAGCGUCGAUUCCCAGCGUUUACUUGAAAAGUGGUUCGUAGAGAAAUAGUAAGAAGAUUGUUAUGCACCAUAUGUAAUUUCAACUUUGUCCUUCAUCGCAUUGUUUAUGGGCAGAUUUUUAGUGCGUAUUUUAUUUUGCUUUUAAAGCCCUGGAAUUAACAAUUGGGCAUUUGUAGUGUUUGUUUAUUAUUCCAUUAUUCUUGAUAUCAUUUCAUUAAUUUCAAGGAAACCUUGUUUUUCACGUUCCUCUAUCUUACGAGAGAGAUGUAUUUUUCCGUUUUUGACUACGGCCUGUAAUGUGUCUAAAGGAAUGACCACGCAUUGUAUAUGAGAGCUCCCAGACGUACUGAUGAAACGCUACCUAUAAAGUCUUAUUUAACUGUGGACAUAUGCACACGCUCCUCAUUUGGGCGUUGGCGCUGAAAACGAGCAUUGCCUCGCCUGUACCUGUCAGAAUGAAUGAAGACGUGUUGUAAAAGGAUUUUCCCAACUGCUCACUCGGUUCCAAUUCCUUGACUUUAGGCGUUUGAAUUUGAUGAAACUUGUUGAAGUCAAUAAGAGAGAGCGAGUAAAAGAAUUGUCUCGCACAGUUGCACUGGUCACUCGAUAGACCAAAAAUGUGUGCAAAUAUGUAAAUAGCCUACAUGAUAUAUUGCAGCAACCUUUUGAACAGGUUCCUAACAUAUGACAUUUUAUUCAUGCAUAACUUAUAUUACAUGCAAAGGAUUUGUAUUACCUUUAACAAAUAUCCUGUGCUGUACAGUAUGGGUGACAUUAUUUCAGAUUGAUUUUGAAUACAAUUACUGGUCAGAACUUGAAUCCAAGUUAUAUUUUUGAAAUCUCUGAAGAGUGAUCGUGUGAAAGAUGAUGACAAGAGCUGCGAUAAUCAGCUCUGCAGGUUUUGAAGACCUGGAUGUUGCUACGGUGGUUAUGUUGGUAUCAAAGUGAAACAUUGAGAAGAAACAUUUACACAUUUGAAAAUAUCUGCACAUCAUGUGGCUACACUUUAAAUGGAUGCAGAUGGCGUCACAUGAUCUCGGAUGUAAACUGGUACGUGGACUCUCAGCCCGUACAAGCUGUUGUUUACCUGUGCCUCUUUAAAUUCUGCUCCAUAUGCCGCAUAGAAGACAGUUCGUGGAGCUUGUGCCACUUAUCCCAAGUCCACUCAAAUCCCCUUAUCUGUUUGGUUAGAAUAAUAGUCCAUGCAGUCGAUGGGGCAUAGGUCCUUUUUCCAAAAGUCGCAGCCUGCUGUCUUUGCAUGUGUAUUUUGAGAUGCAGAAUUGGAGCAAAAUAUUGCUGCUAGAAUGACAAAUGGCGUUUUGAUUUGAGUGGACAAUAGAGGAAUAUUUGUUUUUAUGGUUUGAAUUGAAUUUGACCUGAAAUGGACUUGUCAGGAUGUGCAAUACAGAAUUAAUUUAUGAAUAUCUGAUUGAUCAGAACCCUGUACAUUUAUCUUUUAGUCCUUGAAUGAAAUAUGCAUGAAGUGUGUUCGUGUUUAAUGUUUUUUGUGAUGGUUUUUACCUCCUUUGAGAAUAGCAACACAUUGGAAGUUAUCGAGUCACAUUUGAAAUAAUCUUAUUGUAAAUUGUUAAAUAAGUGGCAAGAUUGAUCGAUUUAUCAUCACUACUGCAACUGCUUUAACUGUAACCAAACGAAUGUGCCUAUGUGAAGAGUAGCAAUGUGACAUUAAAACAUAG
Long non-coding RNA from Gasterosteus aculeatus aculeatus (three-spined stickleback), 9420 nucleotides. The record is from Ensembl. Lineage: Eukaryota; Metazoa; Chordata; Actinopteri; Perciformes; Gasterosteidae.